AGUUGUUCCCUGGAGCUCAAGGAGGGAGGAUUGGAUGCCUUGCAAGCACCCUGGAGCUCCUAUUAGAGACUGGGGAAGCUAGAGAUAAUUCCUGGCUGGCUGCUAAGACUGGCCUGCUGAGGCCCUGAGAGAUGAAGAAAAACUUCUGGGUCAUUUAUAAAACCAGAAUGUGUUGAUAGGCAGUAGAUGGUACAACACCAUUCUCACAGGCAACUGAUGGACCCUGGGUCGCAACCGCUUCUUAAUGGGAGAUCAACAGGAUCUGCUCAUGCUAAAGAGGCCUGGCUCUGUGAUCACUCAAGGGUGACGAUCUUCUGGUCCAUGUCGCUGCGCAAACACAACAGUACCGUGGCUGCGGCUAGGACGGACAGCAGCUAAGCAGCGGGCGCUCAGCAUUUAUAUAGGCACACAUGCACCAAAGUUUUGAGAACAGGUGGUGUCAACUUUUUCAUAGUGUGGAUGAUGAGAUGUGCAAACCUCACACUGGGGAGCAGAGGGUUAAGGAGUACCUUGGAGCCCAGGAAACUCCACCCAACCACAUCUGCUGGAUGUGCUCAUAGUGGAGGUGGAGUUAAAAGGACAUCACCCAGAUCAGGCAGGGUGGUCAGUGCAAGUAAACAGGCCUGCACUGGUAGCUCCUGGAGGGAUUGAGCAGGUGUCCCACUCUGCCCCAAAACAGAUGGUAAAACAGAGCUGCAGGCUGCUGCUGAAGAGGUGUAGGAAAGAACCUUUGGACCCCUUUCAGUUGAGUAUGCAUUGCAAGCCAAGAGCUAGGCCCCCCCGGGCCUCUGGAGAGGUAGAGGGUGCAGUACCCUUGCUCAGGCAACACCCCUAAACUGCCAGCUCCAGGGCUUGGGUGGAACCUGGCACAAUAGGAGCGCCUGGGUUUCUCUACUGUCAGUUGAAGACUUAAGCCACUAGGUGCUAUUGUAAGUUGCAGACUUAAACCAUUAGGGUAUGCAGGGGAGACCCUUUCUACUUUCUGAAAUUGAAUUGAACAACUUUUCAAAACAUAAAUUGUCUUGUGAAUACCUUCCUCCCAUGUGUAGUCAGGUGGACUGCCUAUCAACCCAUUUGCCAAUCCAUGUGCUCACAUGGAAAAAUACCAACAUUAGAGAGGUAUUAAUGUUUCAGACUAUGUGUUACUGGCAUUUGGCAUUAGGAAAUAAAGAGGAGGACUUAAGCACUGUGACUCCAGAGAGUUCUCCAUGGAUCAUCAUGCAGUUCUCUAUGGACAUGUAACAGGGUGGACUCAGGGUGCUGCCACACUUGUCCUGGGAAAGGAGCAGUAGAAGAGUCCUCCAAGUAGCCUACAGUGCUGCAGGGGAAGUAGUCAAUCAAAAAGGAUGCAGGGAGCAGCCAAUCAGGGCUCAGGAGGCCAUAUAAAAAGGAGCUGCUGCAGCAGCAUAGACAGCCAGUGCCUUGCUGGAGCUAGAGUACAAAUGGUGUUCCUGGCCAGCCAAAGGGAACUGCAGCACCACAGACAGUUCAGUGUGGGCAGGGACUAGAGGAGUAGGAAAGAGCUCCUGACUGGCUGCUGGGCCUGAACAGAGCCCUGAGGUCAGGGUGAAGCAUUGGUGAAGGCUGGUGUUGCAAGGAAGCGGCCCAGGGAACUGACAGCAGUUUAGUUAGAGACAUAGUGGUAUAUGGCUGCUAUUCCUAGGGUCCCUGGGUUGGACCUCAGAGUAGUAGUUGGGCCUGGGACACCCCAUAAGUCACUGGGGAAAUUGCCUACAAUUGGCCAGGGAUAAACCCCCAGAAGGUUUGAACUGUUAAGAGGCCCAACUAGAGAGCUGGGGCCAGAACAGAUUAGAGUGGGCUAAGAGUCUCUAGGAAGAAGUCCUUGGGGCAUGGCCCCCUACCAGGGCCAGGAGCCCAUAAAGACUUUGUUGGACUAAUAGCCCAGAAGGGGUCUUUUUGAGUUGUGUUCUAUACAGAUUGUGUGUGACUCUGCCGGAGGACUGAGUCACUAGAAACUGACAGAGAAACUGCCAAAAGGGGUCACCACAGACUGAAUGAGAUGCAGACACACACCCAGCUAGGGGGUACUCAUGAAAGAUGAAUGCCACUCUGUUUCAAGACCAUAGUUUAAGAACAUCUGCUAUAGAAAAAAGUUCUGUUUAUAAAAGAUUAAUCAAUUGUUGUAAAGUCCAAUAGGUUGUUUGACCAUGGCUUAUCUCUAUCUCCUUCUACUGAUUGUGCUUGUAACUCGUACUGCUCAUGUCUGUAACAUACUUACAAAAAGUUAGUGAUAUAUGUUAUAAUUCAUGUAUAAAUGAAACCUUCAUAUUAACUGUCUCAAAAUAGAAUUGAGUUUGUUUUGCAAUAGUGAAACAUAAGGUACUUGAUAAGCUGGGAAAACAUGUUGGAAGCUCGGUUGUUUGGUCAGGAUGUUUCAGUCCAUCACAACAAUUAACUUUACAUAUUUCUCCAGUAUUUUGAACAGUGAAUAAAGUCACUUCAGGGUCAGUGCCAGAUUUGAAAGAGUAUUUUAAGCAACUCCUUUGUCUUAUUUUUCUAUUCUGUAGUCCUGAUCCAUGAUAUUUGUGGUGAUGGUUUCCCUCUUACUGGGUCCUGUCACAUAAAUUGUGUGUGUUUUUUUUUUUUUUUUAAAUAGAGCAAUUCUAUGUAUUACUUAGCAUACAAUAAAGAGAAAGCAAUUAACAUACAAAAGUGUUGCCAAUU
This is a long non-coding RNA of Dermochelys coriacea (leatherback sea turtle), 2685 nucleotides long. RefSeq lists it as uncharacterized. Lineage: Eukaryota; Metazoa; Chordata; Testudines; Dermochelyidae. The transcript is spliced from 5 exons. The record is from RefSeq and is a predicted model, not a curated record.